CGUGGGUAACCUACCCAUCAGAGGGGGAUAACACUUGGAAACAGGUGCUAAUACCGCAUAACAGUUUAUGCCGCAUGGCAUAAGAGUGAAAGGCGCUUUCGGGUGUCGCUGAUGGAUGGACCCGCGGUGCAUUAGCUAGUUGGUGAGGUAACGGCUCACCAAGGCCACGAUGCAUAGCCGACCUGAGAGGGUGAUCGGCCACACUGGGACUGAGACACGGCCCAG
RNAcentral lists this ribosomal RNA (225 nucleotides) under uncultured bacterium. Its description in RNAcentral is "partial 16S ribosomal RNA". It matches the Rfam family "Bacterial small subunit ribosomal RNA", at positions 116 to 334 of the family's 1533-position model. The record is from RNAcentral. RNAcentral also lists the same sequence under 1 other name.